This 480-nucleotide ribosomal RNA is filed under the name Triatoma vitticeps. Its description in RNAcentral is "partial large subunit ribosomal RNA". It matches the Rfam family "Bacterial large subunit ribosomal RNA", at positions 1808 to 2614 of the family's 2925-position model. The record is from RNAcentral. Lineage: Eukaryota; Metazoa; Arthropoda; Insecta; Hemiptera; Reduviidae.
CAAAAACAUGUCCUUUUGUUAUUUAUUUAAGGUCUGACCUGCCCAAUGAGGAAUUGAAUGGCCGCAGUAUUUUAACUGUGCUAAGGUAGCAUAAUCAUUUGUCUUUUAAUUGAGGGCUGGAAUGAAGGGUUGGACGAAGUAUUAUCUUUCUUUAAUUUAAUUGUAGGAAUUUAAUUUUUGAGUUAAAAAGCUUAAAUUUAUUUAUUGGACGAGAAGACCCUAUAGAUCUUUAUAAUUUUNNNNNAAGUAAAUGAAUUAUUUUGUUGGGGUGACUGUAGAAUUUCAAUAACUUCUAUUUAUUUAUUUCAUUUAUUGGUGUUUUUAUGNNNNNACCUUAGGGAUAACAGCGUAAUUCUUUCGGAGAGUUCAUAUUGAUGGAGGAGUUUGCGACCUCGAUGUUGGAUUAAAAUAAGUUAUGGAUGCAGUAGUCUAUAAACUAGGUCUGUUCGACCUUUAAAUUUUUACAUGAUCUGAGUUCAG